Molecule: ribosomal RNA, 119 nt
Filed under: Diaphorina citri (Asian citrus psyllid)
Lineage: Eukaryota; Metazoa; Arthropoda; Insecta; Hemiptera; Psyllidae
Source: RNAcentral
AGCCAGUGGCAAAGCACGUUCAAUGCACCAGUUCCUAAAGUAUCACUGAAGUUGAGCAACGUUGCUCGUGGUUAGUAUCUGGAUAGGUGACCAUCUGGGCAAUCAAGUGCUGGUUGUUU